This 423-nucleotide ribosomal RNA is filed under the name uncultured bacterium. Its description in RNAcentral is "bacterial SSU rRNA". It matches the Rfam family "Bacterial small subunit ribosomal RNA", at positions 356 to 776 of the family's 1533-position model. The record is from RNAcentral.
GAGGAAUAUUGGACAAUGGACGAAAGUCUGAUCCAGCUAUGCCGCGUGCAGGAUGACGGCCCUAUGGGUUGUAAACUGCUUUUAUACAGGAAGAAAAACUCCGACGUGUCGGAGCUUGACGGUACUGUAAGAAUAAGGAUCGGCUAACUCCGUGCCAGCAGCCGCGGUAAUACGGAGGAUCCAAGCGUUAUCCGGAAUCAUUGGGUUUAAAGGGUCCGCAGGCGGUUUUUUAAGUCAGAGGUGAAAUCCUGCAGCUCAACUGUAGAAUUGCCUUUGAUACUGAAAGACUUGAGUUAUUGUGAAGUGGUUAGAAUGUGUGGUGUAGCGGUGAAAUGCAUAGAUAUCACACAGAAUACCAAUUGCGAAGGCAGAUCACUAACAAUAUACUGACGCUCAGGGACGAAAGCGUGGGUAGCGAACAGG